This 1052-nucleotide long non-coding RNA is filed under the name Physcomitrium patens. RNAcentral's name for it is "long non-coding RNA (PPAT_LNC011589)". Lineage: Eukaryota; Viridiplantae; Streptophyta; Bryopsida; Funariales; Funariaceae. The record is from RNAcentral.
GCUUUCCAUACAGCUGAAAUUUAAAAACUUAACAUUAAUCUUACAAUUUUCAUCAAACUGAUAAUAAUUAAGCAUUUUGAGUUGCUUUUAAAUUGUGAUCACAUCGUUGUGCAUACUCGAGAUAAGUUACAAAACUUGUAUUCGUCUUAACUCAAUUCUAACACCACGUUAAGUUCAACAAAAACGAGCAAAAUAUUUAAAAAAUAUAUAUGAUUUCUAUUGACAGUGAAUGAGUUAUAUAUAUAUAUAUAUAUAUAUACACACAUAAAGAAGUACAGAGAUGAAAUUGAAGUCUCUAGAGAAAGUGUUCCAAAACAAAUGUUUGUAUCCCUAUAUAAAUCAUUCUGUAUCAAUAUUUACUACUUGUAUACUACAUCCAUAUCGUAUAUGUUUUCAACAAAUUGUGCUGAAUGUUAAGGUAUCAAUCGAAUUACAGCGACACAUAUUCCUAAGUUUUCAUCGCAAAUCCGUAUGAUGACUCGAUUGGAGAGCAUCACACCCGUCUUGCAGAAUUGCGAAACAUUUGAUUUCCAACAAUGUCUCUCGGAGGAAGACGCUGGCGUUCGGGGAAAUUGAUGUGUCGGAUCAUUUGUGGUGACAUGCUUCCUCAACAAAUCGGGUCAUUUCCGACUGCUGUAGGUAUUCCCAAUCAAAUUCCAAUCCAGAAGUGAGUACCCUCCGUCGCCUUCUCCACCAUCGCCCAUCUCGCAGCUCCUCAGACUUCCUCCUCUUGAACUGUGUUCCAACACUACUACAUGCACCCUGUUUGCAAUUCUCGGUGAUUCCGACGCUCCUCGCUUUCUCUCCCUCUCUCGCGAAUACUGAACAAUCUUCGGCUCACUUUCUCCAGCGUGAGGCAAUGCUCAGUCGGGUAGAAAUUGCUGCGGCUCUGUUACUGAAACCAAAAGAAUCGCCACUGAAUUUAUACGAGAAGGGUCAGAUUUUUAAAAAUAUUUUUUUCGGAAUUGAGUGGAGUUUUCUGCGUUGAACGAAAACUGCCCCACUCAUAAACUUCCCCAAUUCAAAUUUUCCUGUGUCGGCAGCGAGUUGCG